Molecule: ribosomal RNA, 253 nt
Filed under: uncultured bacterium
Lineage: Bacteria
Description: partial 16S ribosomal RNA
Rfam family: Bacterial small subunit ribosomal RNA
Source: RNAcentral
UACGUAGGGACCAAGCGUUGUUCGGAUUUACUGGGCGUAAAGGGCGCGUAGGCGGUCGUCCAAGUCGCGUGUGAAAGCCCCCGGCUCAACUGGGGAGGGUCACGCGAUACUGGUCGACUCGAAGGCAGGAGAGGGUAGUGGAAUUCCCGGUGUAGUGGUGAAAUGCGUAGAUAUCGGGAGGAACACCAGUGGCGAAGGCGACUACCUGGCCUGUUCUUGACGCUGAGGCGCGAAAGCUAGGGGAGCAAACGGG